Molecule: ribosomal RNA, 253 nt
Filed under: uncultured bacterium
Lineage: Bacteria
Description: partial 16S ribosomal RNA
Rfam family: Bacterial small subunit ribosomal RNA
Source: RNAcentral
UACGGAGGGGGCAAGCGUUAUUCGGAAUUAUUGGGCGUAAAGGGCGCGUAGGCGGCUAGAUGUGUCAAAGGUGAAAUCCCUCGGCUCAACUGAGGAACUGCCUUUGAAACUGUCUGGCUUGAGGCCGGGAGAGGGUAGCGGAAUUCCCAGUGUAGCGGUGAAAUGCGUAGAUAUCAAGGGGAACACCUGAGGUGAAGACGGGUUGCUGGGCUGACACUGACGCUGAGGCGCGAAAGCCAGGGGAGCAAACGGG